GACGAACCGAGCGAACGUUGUUCGGAAUCACUGGGCUUAAAGGGCGCGUAGGCGGGCCGCCAAGUCUGAGGUGAAAUCUUUCGGCUUAACCGGAAAAUAGCCUUGGAUACUGGCGGUCUCGAGGGUGGUAGGGGCAUGUGGAACUUCCGGUGGAGCGGUGAAAUGCGUUGAUAUCGGAAGGAACGCCGGUGGCGAAAGCGACGUGCUGGACCACUACUGACGCUGAGGCGCGAAAGCCAGGGGAGCAAACGGG
RNAcentral lists this ribosomal RNA (253 nucleotides) under uncultured bacterium. RNAcentral describes it as "partial 16S ribosomal RNA". It matches the Rfam family "Bacterial small subunit ribosomal RNA", at positions 524 to 776 of the family's 1533-position model. The record is from RNAcentral.